Molecule: ribosomal RNA, 2670 nt
Filed under: Triticum aestivum (bread wheat)
Lineage: Eukaryota; Viridiplantae; Streptophyta; Magnoliopsida; Poales; Poaceae
Description: partial small subunit ribosomal RNA
Source: RNAcentral
AUGGCGCAGCCGCUUGUUGUGAAGAAGGACGACGACUUAGACGAGGAAGAGUACUACUCGCCGUUCCUCGGCAUCGAGAAGGGCGCCGUCCUGCAGGAGGCCCGCGUCUUCCACGACCCGCAGCUUGACGCGCGGCGAUGCUGCCAGGUGAUCACCAAGCUUCUAUAUCUGCUCAACCAGGGUGACACCUUUACCAAGGUAGAGGCUACAGAGGUCUUCUUCGCUACGACCAAGUUGUUUCAGUCCAAAGAUGCUGGACUUAGGAGGAUGGUGUACCUCAUGAUCAAGGAACUCUCGCCGUCAGCGGAUGAGGUUAUUAUUGUGACAAGUUCUCUGAUGAAGGAUAUGAAUAGCAAGACUGAUAUGUAUCGUGCAAAUGCUAUAAGAGUUCUUUGCCGCAUCAUUGAUUCGACUCUUCUCACCCAAAUUGAGAGGUAUUUGAAGCAAGCUAUCGUUGACAAGAACCCUGUUGUUGCCAGUGCGGCUCUUGUUAGUGGUAUUUACCUGCUUCAGACAAGUCCAGAAGUUGUGAAAAGAUGGAGCAAUGAGGUUCAGGAGGCUGUACAGUCGAGAGCUGCUCUUGUUCAGUUUCAUGCCCUUGCUCUUCUUCACCAAAUUAGACAAAAUGACCGGUUGGCUGUUAGCAAGCUAGUCACUAGUCUGACAAGGGGUUCAGUUCGCUCACCUCUGGCCCAGUGCCUACUUAUUCGGUACACUAGCCAGGUUAUUAGAGAGUCAGGCAUGAAUACACAAGGUGGAGACCGCCCUUUCUUUGAUUUCCUGGAGUCCUGUCUCCGGAACAAGGCAGAAAUGGUCAUACUUGAGGCUGCGCGAGCAAUAACUGAUCUAAAUGGUGUGACCAGCCGUGAGCUUACACCUGCAAUCACGGUGCUGCAAUUGUUCUUAAGUUCAUCCAAACCUGUGCUUAGAUUUGCCGCUGUUCGCACACUUAACAAGGUUGCAUCAACUCAUCCUUUGGCCGUUACAAAUUGUAACAUUGAUAUGGAGAGUUUAAUCUCUGAUCAGAACAGGAGCAUCGCAACCCUUGCAAUUACCACACUGCUCAAGACAGGCAAUGAAUCAAGUGUUGAUCGUUUAAUGAAACAGAUGACCAACUUUAUGUCAGACAUAGCCGACGAAUUCAAGAUUGUUGUUGUAGAAGCAAUUAGAUCCUUGUGCUUGAAGUUCCCCCUCAAAUAUCGCUCACUGAUGAACUUUUUGAGCAAUAUCCUACGUGAAGAGGGUGGAUUUGACUACAAGAAAGCUAUAGUUGAUUCAAUUAUCAUACUAAUUAGGGAUAUUCCUGAUGCUAAAGAAAGUGGUUUAUUUCACUUAUGUGAAUUCAUCGAAGACUGUGAAUUCACGUAUCUGUCAACUCAGAUCCUUCACUUUUUGGGAAAUGAAGGGCCGAAGACAUCAGACCCUAGUAAAUACAUACGCUAUAUAUACAAUAGGGUGAUACUUGAAAAUGCCACUGUUCGAGCUAGUGCAGUAAGUACAUUGGCAAAGUUUGGUGCUUUGGUUGAUGCACUCAAGCCUCGCAUAUUUGUCCUUUUGAGGCGUUGCCUGUUUGAUGGCGAUGAUGAGGUCCGUGACAGAGCGACACUUUACAUCAAAUUGCUUGAUGGGGAAGCUACUGUUGGUGAGACUGAGAAGGAUGUGACUGACUUUCUCUUUGGUUCACUUGAUGUUCCACUAGCUAACUUGGAGGCCAGCCUGCGGAAUUAUGAACCAUCAGAGGUACCUUUUGAUAUUUCAUCUGUACCCAAGGAAACAAAAUCACAACCCCUUGCUGAGAAAAAGGCUACAGGCAAGAAAUCAACAGGGCCAGCAUCUGCUGUCAAUGGCCCUGUUCCUACCAUUGAUGCAUCCUAUGAGAAGCUUCUUUCAUCCAUUCCUGAGUUUGCUGGUUUUGGGAAACUCUUUAAGUCAUCAACACCUUUUGAAUUGACUGAAGCCGAGACCGAAUAUUCAGUCAAUGUUGUGAAGCACAUUUAUGAUGGGCAUGUUGUGCUUCAAUACAACUGUACAAAUACAAUACCUGAACAACUGCUUGAAGAGGUCGUGGUGUUUGUUGACGCUUCCGAGGCAGAAGAAUUUUCAGAAGUUGCAUCGAAGCCUUUAAGAUCCUUGCCUUACGAUUCCCCCGGACAGACCUUUGUGGCCUUUGAAAAGCCAGAAGGUGUCCUUGCCACUGGGAAGUUCUCAAAUAUAUUGAAAUUCAUUGUUAAAGAGGUUGAUUCGUCCACAGGUGAAGCUGAGGAUGAUGGUGUUGAGGACGAGUAUCAGCUAGAAGAUUUUGAAAUUAUUUCUGCUGAUUACAUGUUGAAGGUGGGGGUUUCGAACUUCCGAAAUGCUUGGGAAAGCAUGGAUCCGGAAAGUGAGCGGGUCGAUGAGUAUGGACUCGGUGUUAGGGAGAGCUUGGCCGAGGCUGUGAGUGCUGUUAUAAGCAUCCUCGGCAUGCAGCCUUGCGAGGGAACUGAUGUUGUCCAAAACAAUUCCAGAUCGCACACUUGCCUGCUCUCAGGUGUGUUUAUCGGUAAUGUGAAAGUUUUAGUGAGACUUUCAUUUGGAAUCAGCGGGCCCAAAGAAGUAGCCAUGAAGCUAGCAGUCAGAUCGGAUGAUCCGGAGGUCAGUGACAGGAUCCAUGAAAUUGUUGCGAACGGCUAA